CGUGGAGCAUGUGGUUUAAUUUCGAAGCAACGCGAAGAACCUUACCAGGUCUUGACAUCCCGAUGCUAUUUCUAGAGAUAGAAAGUUACUUCGGUACAUCGGUGACAGGUGGUGCAUGGUUGUCGUCAGCUCGUGUCGUGAGAUGUUGGGUUAAGUCCCGCAACGAGCGCAACCCCUAUUGUUAGUUGCUACAUUCAGUUGGGCACUCUAAUGAGACUGCCGGUGACAAGCCGGAGGAAGGUGGGGAUGACGUCAAGUCCUCAUGGCCCUUAUAGGUGGGGCUACACACGUCAUACAAUGGCUGGUACAAAGGGUUGCCAACCCGCGAGGGGGAGCCAAUCCCAUAAAGCCAGUCGUAGUCCGGAUCGUAGUCUGCAACUCGACUACGUGAAGUCGGAAUCGCUAGUAAUCGUGGAUCAGAAUGUCACGGUGAAUACGUUCCCGGGUCUU
Molecule: ribosomal RNA, 450 nt
Filed under: uncultured Rhodoferax sp.
Lineage: Bacteria; Pseudomonadati; Pseudomonadota; Betaproteobacteria; Burkholderiales; Comamonadaceae
Description: bacterial SSU rRNA
Rfam family: Bacterial small subunit ribosomal RNA
Source: RNAcentral